Molecule: long non-coding RNA, 571 nt
Organism: Folsomia candida
Lineage: Eukaryota; Metazoa; Arthropoda; Collembola; Entomobryomorpha; Isotomidae
Exons: 4
Source: RefSeq, a predicted model, not a curated record
GGGGUGUGGGGAUGGGGGGUUUUCUGGGGGGGUCAGCAGAGAGAGUUUGUACAAUGAGGCCAGGAAGUGGGUGUGGUCAGAGCAGCUUGACCGCUACAUCGAAACAACAGCCCCCACGACCUCGAGCCACCCCCACCACCCGCAGCCGCACAUGAAGAAGAUGGCCGCCCGCUAUCCGUCCGCCCCCACCACGGCCCAAAUCAAGCACGUGUCCUUCUACUCGCCCGACUACUUCACCCGCUCCGCCACCUCAAACUCUUUCGACGAACACAAAAUCAGAAGGGCAAGGUUCGAGUUGAUGAAUGGGGGGGUCAGUCAGGAGAGAUUAAUCGACGGUCGCUGUAAAACCCCCGAGAACCUGACCCCGAAACCCUCGUCCCUCGUCGGCAGCCGGACCUCGCUCGCCCUUUGCGUGAAAUCACAAUCGACGCAGACGGAAAAUUUCAUCGCGCGCGCGGGGGGCCGUCCGAAUAUCUCAGUCUGAGCCCAAGGGUUGCGCAGAGGUCCCGGAUGGUCUCCCAGCCCACCCAAACGAACGGACUCCCCCCCACCCCCACCAUCACCCCCCACC